Molecule: long non-coding RNA, 206 nt
Filed under: Elaeis guineensis (African oil palm)
Lineage: Eukaryota; Viridiplantae; Streptophyta; Magnoliopsida; Arecales; Arecaceae
Description: long non-coding RNA (EGUI_LNC074952)
Source: RNAcentral
CUGCUAUAGAUAUGGCACAAUGCGUGCACUGAAGCAUGUCAAAUAAGAUGUGUUAGCCUCCCUCCAUCGACAUGUAAGGAAUCUGGACUCCUGACAAGACCAAAAAAAAGAAAAAUAGAUAAUUGGUCCAUAUUAAAUUCAUACGAAUAAUUGAACGACAAGAUUUUAACCAUAAGUAUAUAUACCUGACCAUCCCAGAUGGCCAA